AUUGAACGCUGGCGGCAGGCCUAACACAUGCAAGUCGAGCGGAUGAAGGGAGCUUGCUCCUGGAUUCAGCGGCGGACGGGUGAGUAAUGCCUAGGAAUCUGCCUGGUAGUGGGGGAUAACGUCCGGAAACGGGCGCUAAUACCGCAUACGUCCUGAGGGAGAAAGUGGGGGAUCUUCGGACCUCACGCUAUCAGAUGAGCCUAGGUCGGAUUAGCUAGUUGGUGGGGUAAAGGCCUACCAAGGCGACGAUCCGUAACUGGUCUGAGAGGAUGAUCAGUCACACUGGAACUGAGACACGGUCCAGACUCCUACGGGAGGCAGCAGUGGGGAAUAUUGGACAAUGGGCGAAAGCCUGAUCCAGCCAUGCCGCGUGUGUGAAGAAGGUCUUCGGAUUGUAAAGCACUUUAAGUUGGGAGGAAGGGCAGUAAGUUAAUACCUUGCUGUUUUGACGUUACCAACAGAAUAAGCACCGGCUAACUUCGUGCCAGCAGCCGCGGUAAUACGAAGGGUGCAAGCGUUAAUCGGAAUUACUGGGCGUAAAGCGCGCGUAGGUGGUUCAGCAAGUUGGAUGUGAAAUCCCCGGGCUCAACCUGGGAACUGCAUCCAAAACUACUGAGCUAGAGUACGGUAGAGGGUGGUGGAAUUUCCUGUGUAGCGGUGAAAUGCGUAGAUAUAGGAAGGAACACCAGUGGCGAAGGCGACCACCUGGACUGAUACUGACACUGAGGUGCGAAAGCGUGGGGAGCAAACAGGAUUAGAUACCCUGGUAGUCCACGCCGUAAACGAUGUCGACUAGCCGUUGGGAUCCUUGAGAUCUUAGUGGCGCAGCUAACGCGAUAAGUCGACCGCCUGGGGAGUACGGCCGCAAGGUUG
This 873-nucleotide ribosomal RNA is filed under the name uncultured Pseudomonadales bacterium. RNAcentral's name for it is "bacterial SSU rRNA". It matches the Rfam family "Bacterial small subunit ribosomal RNA", at positions 28 to 896 of the family's 1533-position model. Lineage: Bacteria; Pseudomonadati; Pseudomonadota; Gammaproteobacteria; Pseudomonadales. The record is from RNAcentral.